This 385-nucleotide unclassified non-coding RNA is filed under the name Artemisia kopetdaghensis. RNAcentral describes it as "partial external transcribed spacer". The record is from RNAcentral. Lineage: Eukaryota; Viridiplantae; Streptophyta; Magnoliopsida; Asterales; Asteraceae.
GAGUGGUGUUUGGUUUGUUACGUGUGGUUGGCUGCGGCGUUUGCAACAACUUCCAUGCUUUCAGACCUCUUCAGUUGUGCGGCAAGGCUUGUAUCGCCUUGAGCGUAUUGUGGGUUUUCUGUGUUGGCUACCUAAUCAAUGGUAUCGGUUGGAUUGAUCAAUGUUUCAUUUCGUCUACCGUCGCAUUCGCGGCGUGAGAUGAACCUUGAUGCGGUCUCUUUGAUCCACCUCGUCGAAGCGCAUGCUUUGGCGUUGUGGCACAUUGAGCAUUGCUUGGUCUCUUGUAUACGGAACAUAUAGUGGGCAUGGAUCUAACGAUUCUCGUUUGCCCUCAUAUUAGCGUAACGCUUCUCUUACACGACUUGCNCCACGUUUUAGCUCGUAC